Molecule: long non-coding RNA, 249 nt
Organism: Oncorhynchus keta (chum salmon)
Lineage: Eukaryota; Metazoa; Chordata; Actinopteri; Salmoniformes; Salmonidae
Exons: 3
Source: RefSeq, a predicted model, not a curated record
CCUCUAACAGGUUAUUCCUCUAACAGGUUAUUCCUCUAACAGGUUAUUCCCCUAACAGGUUAUUCCCCUGACAGGUUAUUCCCCUGACAGGUUAUUCCCCUAACAGGUUAUUCCCUAACAGGUUAUUCCCCUAACAGGUUAUUGCUAACAGGUUAUUCCUAACAGGUUAUUCCCCUAACAGGUUAUUCCUAACAGGUUAUUCCCCUAACAGGUUAUUCCCCUAACAGGUUAUUCCUCUAACUGGUUAUU